RNAcentral lists this ribosomal RNA (497 nucleotides) under uncultured bacterium. RNAcentral describes it as "partial 16S ribosomal RNA". It matches the Rfam family "Bacterial small subunit ribosomal RNA", at positions 28 to 507 of the family's 1533-position model. The record is from RNAcentral.
GAUGAACGCUGGCGGCGUGCCUAAUACAUGCAAGUCGAGCGAACGGACGAGAAGCUUGCUUCUCUGAUGUUAGCGGCGGACGGGUGAGUAACACGUGGAUAACCUACCUAUAAGACUGGGAUAACUUCGGGAAACCGUAGCUAAUACCGGAUAAUAUUUUGAACCGCAUGGUUCAAAAGUGAAAGACGGUCUUGCUGUCACUUAUAGAUGGAUCCGCGCUGCAUUAGCUAGUUGGUAAGGUAACGGCUUACCAAGGCAACGAUGCAUAGCCGACCUGAGAGGGUGAUCGGCCACACUGGAACUGAGACACGGUCCAGACUCCUACGGGAGGCAGCAGUAGGGAAUCUUCCGCAAUGGGCGAAGGCCUGACGGAGCAACGCCGCGUGAGUGAUGAAGGUCUUCGGAUCGUAAAACUCUGUUAUUAGGGAAGAACAUAUGUGUAAGUAACUGUGCACAUCUUGACGGUACCUAAUCAGAAAGCCACGGCUAACUACGUA